RNAcentral lists this ribosomal RNA (463 nucleotides) under uncultured bacterium. RNAcentral describes it as "partial 16S ribosomal RNA". It matches the Rfam family "Bacterial small subunit ribosomal RNA", at positions 28 to 507 of the family's 1533-position model. The record is from RNAcentral.
GACGAACGCUGGCGGCACGCCUAACACAUGCAAGUCGAACGGACUUACAAGAGCUUGCUUUUUUAAGUUAGUGGCGGACGGGUGAGUAACACGUGAGCAACCUGCCUCUGAGAGGGGGAUAGCUUCUGGAAACGGAUGGUAAUACCCCAUAAAAUAUAAAUAUCGCAUGAUAGAUAUAUCAAAGAAAUUCGCUCAGAGAUGGGCUCGCGUCUGAUUAGAUAGUUGGUGAGGUAACGGCUCACCAAGUCGACGAUCAGUAGCCGGACUGAGAGGUUGAACGGCCACAUUGGGACUGAGACACGGCCCAGACUCCUACGGGAGGCAGCAGUGGGGAAUAUUGCACAAUGGAGGGAACUCUGAUGCAGCGAUGCCGCGCGGAGGAAGAAGGUUUUCGGAUUGUAAACUCCUUUUAUCAGGGACGAUAAUGACGGUACCUGAAGAAAAAGCUCCGGCUAACUACGUG